This 253-nucleotide ribosomal RNA is filed under the name uncultured bacterium. RNAcentral describes it as "partial 16S ribosomal RNA". It matches the Rfam family "Bacterial small subunit ribosomal RNA", at positions 524 to 776 of the family's 1533-position model. The record is from RNAcentral.
UACAGAGGUCCCAAGCGUUGUUCGGAUUCAUUGGGCGUAAAGGGUGCGUAGGCGGCGCGGUAAGUCGGGUGUGAAAUCUCGGAGCUUAACUCCGAAACUGCAUUCGAUACUGCCGUGCUUGAGGACUGGAGAGGAGACUGGAAUUUACGGUGUAGCGGUGAAAUGCGUAGAUAUCGUAAGGAGGACCAGUGGCGAAGGCGGGUCUCUGGACAGUUCCUGACGCUGAGGCACGAAGGCCAGGGGAGCAAACGGG